GUUUCUGACCUAUCAACUCGAGACGGCGGGGUAGAGGCCCGCCGCGGUAACGACGGGUAACGGGGAAUCAGGGUUCGAUUCCGGAGAGGGAGCCCGAGAAACGGCUACCACUUCCAAGGAAGGCAGCAGGCGCGCAACUUACCCUAAUCUCGAUUCGAGGAGGUAGUGACAAGAAAUACCGAUGCGGGACCCUACGGGUGCCGCGUUCGGAAUGAGUACGAUUCGAACCACCUAACGAGGAACGAUCGGAGGGCAAGUCUGGUGCCAGCAGCCGCGGUAAUUCCAGCUCCAAUAGCGUACGUUAAAGUUGCUGCAGUUAAAAAGCUCGUAGUUGAACGUUCGGGUUCCGCGGGACGGGGCCGCCCCGCGAGGGACGGCGCCGCCCCGGGGCUCGUGAUAUCUCAUCUCGCCGCCCGUCGCGAGGCGGACGGAGGGAUGGAUGAGGUUACCUGGAAAAAAUCGGGG
Molecule: ribosomal RNA, 465 nt
Filed under: uncultured eukaryote
Lineage: Eukaryota
Description: bacterial SSU rRNA
Rfam family: Eukaryotic small subunit ribosomal RNA
Source: RNAcentral